Molecule: ribosomal RNA, 517 nt
Filed under: uncultured bacterium
Lineage: Bacteria
Description: bacterial SSU rRNA
Rfam family: Bacterial small subunit ribosomal RNA
Source: RNAcentral
AGGGUUCGAUUCUGGCUCAGGAUGAACGCUAGCGGCAGGCUUAACACAUGCAAGUCGAGGGGCAACGCGAGUAGCAAUACUUGGCGGCGACCGGCGCAAGGGUGCGUAACGCGUGAGCAACAUGCCCGUAUCAGGGGGAUAAUCCAGGGAAACUUGGUCUAAUACCCCAUAGUAAUUUUGUAAGGCAUCUUAUAAGAUUUAAAGCUUUGGUGGAUACGGAUUGGCUCGCGUGACAUUAGCUGGAUGGUAAGGUAACGGCUUACCAUGGCUAUGAUGUCUAGGGGUUCUGAGAGGAAGGUCCCCCACACUGGAACUGAGACACGGUCCAGACUCCUACGGGAGGCAGCAGUGAGGAAUAUUGGACAAUGGAUGGAAAUCUGAUCCAGCCAUGCCGCGUGAAAAGGAAGAAGGUCCUAUGGAUUGUAAACUUCUUUUGUAUGGGAGCAAUAAGGCCUACGAGUAGGUUGAUGAGAGUACCAUACGAAUAAGCACCGGCUAACUCCGUGCCAGCCGCCGC